This 492-nucleotide ribosomal RNA is filed under the name uncultured bacterium. RNAcentral's name for it is "partial 16S ribosomal RNA". It matches the Rfam family "Bacterial small subunit ribosomal RNA", at positions 29 to 507 of the family's 1533-position model. The record is from RNAcentral.
AGUGAACGCUGGCGGUAGGCCUAAUACAUGCAAGUCGAACGGCAGCACAGUAAGAGCUUGCUCCUACGGGUGGCGAGUGGCGGACGGGUGAGGCAUACAUCGGAAUCUACUUUUUCGUGGGGGAUAACGUGGGGCAACUUACGCUAAUACCGCAUACGUCCUACGGGUGAAAUCAGGGGUUCUUCGGACCUUGCGCGAUUGUAUGAGCCGAUGUCGGAUUAGCUAGUUGGCGGGGUAAAGGCCCACCAAGGCGACGAUCCGUAGCUGGUCUGAGAGGAUGAUCAGCCACACUGGAACUGAGACACGGUCCAGACUCCUACGGGAGGCAGCAGUGGGGAAUAUUGGACAAUGGGCGCAAGCCUGAUCCAGCCAUGCCGCGUGGGUGAAGAAGGCCUUCGGGUUGUAAAGCCCUUUUGUUGGGAAAGAAAAGCAGCAGGUUAAUACCCCGCUGUUCUGACGGUACCCAAAGAAUAAGCACCGGCUAACUUCGUG